GUGGAUAUAGCUCUGUGGUAGAGUGCGUGCUUAGCAUGCAAGAGGUCCUGGGUUCAGUCCCCAGAACCACC
Molecule: transfer RNA, 71 nt
Filed under: Camelus ferus (Wild Bactrian camel)
Lineage: Eukaryota; Metazoa; Chordata; Mammalia; Artiodactyla; Camelidae
Rfam family: tRNA
About the family: Transfer RNA (tRNA) molecules are approximately 80 nucleotides in length. Their secondary structure includes four short double-helical elements and three loops (D, anti-codon, and T loops).
Source: Rfam by way of RNAcentral